Molecule: long non-coding RNA, 924 nt
Organism: Pollicipes pollicipes
Lineage: Eukaryota; Metazoa; Arthropoda; Thecostraca; Pollicipedomorpha; Pollicipedidae
Exons: 4
Source: RefSeq, a predicted model, not a curated record
UCGGCUCAAUUGUCCCCAGUUCUCGUGUCAUUCCUCCUGCUUUUAUGCAACCAAUGCUAAAAGCACUUGACUGAUAAUUCUAUUGAAUAUGUGCCCUACUUACGCAGCAUUCAAAUGGCAUUCAUUACGGGCAUACUAGAAAAUCUCGCGGUUUUUUGCAAUCCUGUAUGGGUGGUGGAUGACAACAGAAAAUGGAUGGAAAAGACACAGCACUUAAUUAUAACUUACCAAAGGAUUGAAGCUCUGAAGGAACACAGCUAUCCGUCGGUCAGUAGCGAGUCUUCAAGUGAUCAACAGGAAACGGUUUGCAACAAUUCGAAGGACAAUACACUUCGAAGUAAUGAUGCUUGCACGCACGGAACCACGAUCAGUGAAUGGAGCGAGGAGCAUAAGGAUAUAACCAAUACUUCAUUGGAUCCGGCGGACAUGAAAUGCCCGUCUGAAGACAAGAAUCCUGGCUCAAGUGCUUGGCAAUCAAGUGGCGUUUCUCCUCACCUGGUCUCGCCCAGUUCCGAUAUUUCGCCCUGCAACAGUCAAAAAUCUCCCUCACCAGAAUUGAUGUUGACUGAUGCACACCUUCAACCCAGUCCAAAGAAGUAUCAUCUUUUCGAUUGCCCACAAUGGCUUGAUUUCCCAAAACAGGAUUCGUUUGCUGAUGUGGCCAGGACCCCAGCCGAAUGGCUGCAAACAAGGUCCGGCCUGUGCAGGACCGAGCCCUGCAGAAACGAUCCAGCUGCGUGGGCCAGCUGGAUGCUUGGACAACAUCAGCCGGCUGACAGCGAUGACCAGUUCGUCCGGAAACAGAAAAACCUCGGCGCCGAAAUCGCCGGUGCGCUAUCACAGCCGGUGACGAGCAAGGAGCUGCAGGUCAUCUCGGGAAUGGCGCUGAAGCGGCCGACCGGCGCCGAGCGCCAGCUACUGCGA